RNAcentral lists this long non-coding RNA (276 nucleotides) under Mytilus galloprovincialis (Mediterranean mussel). Lineage: Eukaryota; Metazoa; Mollusca; Bivalvia; Mytilida; Mytilidae. The record is from RNAcentral.
GCCCUAUAAACUGUUUACAAAGCCUAACAUAAGAUGCAUAAUAACGAUUUAAGGUUUUGUUGGUCCUUUGGGUCGUUCUUCUAAAAAAAAAUCAUAUAUAAGUACAUCUAUAUAACAUAAAACAUUUUAAAAACAUUUUAAAAAGUUCAUAUAAAUGGUUUUCCUGUAAAUAUCACCUAAUAACAUUUUAACAGCUUUUUAAUAUUUCAUAUGUUGUCUUAAUAACAUUUCCUGGAAGGAUUUUUGACAUUUUGGGGGUUUUUUUUCAUUAUAAAU